RNAcentral lists this long non-coding RNA (2649 nucleotides) under Homo sapiens (human). Its description in RNAcentral is "PREDICTED lncRNA (TCONS_00045534)". Lineage: Eukaryota; Metazoa; Chordata; Mammalia; Primates; Hominidae. The record is from RNAcentral.
CUCAAAUUUUAGAAAGUAUUUCAUAUUUCUUAGAGAAACAAGCCGUGCUCAUUUUUUGUUUGUUUGUUUUUUGUUUUUUAAAAGGGCAGGGGGACUACAAUGCCAGGAGCCAGAGAGCUUGUCAGAGAACAGCCUGGCCAGGCAUGGUGCUCCAUCUGAGUGCCGAGUCAGAGCAUGCCCAGCCUUUGGCAUUUUCCUAUGAUCAUGGACAGCAUCAAUCUUACAGCCUGGAAUGGAAACAGGAUAAAAAGCAAGAAGGCACUGUACCUUUCCCCCACUGGCAGACAGAGAAACUCUAACUCUCCCGCCCUAUUUUCAUCCAUUUAAAUUCAUUUCCUUUCUCUCAGGUUUUCUGUAUCUUGGUUUGGAAUGAAUCUGGUACACGGCUCCUGAGUCAAGAGGUCAAGAAGACACGUGGUUUUAUGAUGCAACAAUGGGCAGCCACUCUGUUUUGUUUUGGGAACCUCAGUGACAUCACAGACUAACCCUUGUACCUUGGGACCUUGUAUGUAAGAAAACAUUGAGUCAGAAGAGAGCGUUAGUCAUAGGGCUACUGAAACACAAGGUGACGAGAACUAUUAGGCAAUUGAGUGCAUUCCCUGCAGGGCUGCUCCCACUUCUAUCUGACUUGGGUCUAGAUGACUCAAGUGAUUCCCGAGGGGAAAAUAAUCUAUGUGGAACAGCUGUCAUGAGCAGGCCUUCUGCUGCUCUUCAGCCUCAAUUUCAGCCUGCUACUUCCCGUGACAUCAUUCAGUGAUUCCUCCCUUUAAGGGGACAGUUUUCUCUUGUAUUACAGCUGUCUGCCUACGGAAGGCUCCAGAGUCCCUGACGCAUAUUUAUAUCUCCACUUCACUGAAGUCACAAGGAACAAACACACACCUGCCAUUUCCCAAAUCUCAUAAAACAUAUAAAUGGAUGAGACCAAAGAGAGGCAUGAGAUUCCAUUCUUAUGAAGGAGACAGACAGGAAAGAGGGCAAGGGAUCCUACUAAUGCAACACAGAGCUCACAAAUGCAUCCUUCCCUCGAGGCCAGAGUGGCAACAGACCAUAGAGCCACCCUUCAACUGAAGCAAGAUGCCCUUCAACUGAAGCAAGAUGCAUGGAGACUGUUUCCACUUAGGAGUCAGAUAAAAGGCCAGAGGAACCCACAUGGCUGUGCAUAAAGGCUCCAGUUGAUAAAUGGAUAAGCAACAGUGGAAACACAGGUUCACAGGAAGCACCUGGCACACAGUAACUAUUAUUAAUUUCUGCACUGGAGGCAUCAGGAAAGCCUUCACGCUAUAGGGGGCCCUUUUAAGUUAAGAAGUUGGAGAGCAAGCCUCGGGGAAAGCAAAGAGAUAACUUAGUAGAAUGGAGCAACCAUACGGGAACAGUGAGAGUCCAUGGAUCUCCCUGGGCUAAGAUCAUGUAUGGAUUUGGCAAUCUGGGGUGGAAGCCACAUGUGCUGUUAUUAAGUGGAAAUGUCUCGUGAACAUGUGGAAAGUGAUGACUGGAACUUCAGAUGAAAGUCAAAGCUGGAGAUAGGAGAUUCAGAAGUCACCCCACCAAAGAAGGAAUGGUUAAAGCUAUAAGAACUAAUGAGAUCCUAUUUAUUUGCUUAUUCAAUCAACAUAUGUAGAACUAAAUGCUAAGAAUGUAAUGAUAAAUAAGACAGAAAGGGACCUUGCCCAUAUGGUAUUUACAAUCUACUGCCAGUUCAUAAUCUCCUAAAAAAUAAUGUAGAGAACAAUAACAGAAUCAAAGAAAUCUUGAACGUCUAUAUUUAAGGGGUUGAAUGUAAAAGAAAAGGCCUUAAAGGAGGCAGAAAAAUAGCAAUGAGAAAAGUUUGGGAAUUCUAAAACAAGACAGUAUUUCAGAGGAAGAAAACGCAGGUAAUACAUGGGCAAGUUUCACACACAGAGGUGAUGCAUCCUGGUGACCAAUAUUACAAGGAAGAGAGAUGAUGACUGAGGACAGGCUGGUGGACUUGAUUUGAGGUCAACGGUAUGAGGAUAAUUUCAGCAGAGUGGUGGGAUGGAGCGAAACAGCAGGUGUGUCAAUAAUGAGUUAAGCUUUGAGAAAGGGGAGACUUCAGAUGCAGACAACUCAUUCCUGAAUCUGUGCUUCAAAAACAAGAAAAAGCCCAAGAUGUCAGGAUAUCUGCAGGGUCAAGCAAAGCAUUUUUUUCACGAUGGUAAUAGGUAAAAGAGAUUUCUCUAGCCCGCUGGUCUAAGGAUCAGACAGAGGGUGGAGGUGCUUGAUAAGGAUGGUCAUGGCAUUUUUUGCAGACUGAAAUGAUAUUUGAAAACUAAAUGCUAGCCUGUGUUACAGCUACUUACCCGCUGAGGAUCAAACGUACAUUUAUUUGCCCUAUUGCCCAACUUAUGGCUAUGCCAGUAAUGUCCUCUUUUUUUCCUUAUCAUUUCUUUUCAGCUUGUUUUCCCAAACUGUGGUGUUGCCUUGCCCUUGAGAACCCAGCUGAGGUCUAGACUGUUUCAUGGAUCACCUAAGCUUGGAGCUACAGUUGGGCUGCAAAGUUGUUCCUCUAGUGCUGAUACAAGAACAUAGCUGGUCCUCUUGUUCAUAGUGGUAAAAUAUUUUUAAAAUCUGACAUAAACACAACAUAUUAAUUACAGAAAUGAUGGAGAGAGAAUAAAGCUGGGACCCCAC